This 253-nucleotide ribosomal RNA is filed under the name uncultured bacterium. RNAcentral's name for it is "partial 16S ribosomal RNA". It matches the Rfam family "Bacterial small subunit ribosomal RNA", at positions 524 to 776 of the family's 1533-position model. The record is from RNAcentral.
UACGAAGGGGGCUAGCGUUGCUCGGAAUCACGGGGCGUAAAGCGCACGUAGGCGGCUUUCUAAGUCAGGGGUGAAAUCCUGGAGCUCAACUCCAGAACUGCCUUUGAUACUGGAGAGCUUGAGUCCGGAAGAGGUGAGUGGAACUCCGAGUGUAGAGGUGAAAUUCGUAGAUAUUCGGAAGAACACCAGUGGCGAAGGCGGCUCACUGGUCCGGUACUGACGCUGAGGUGCGAAAGCGUGGGGAGCAAACAGG